GAUGGUAUUUUCGCAAGUGCACGAAAGCCACGUAGUAAUAAAAUGUGAGUUGUCGAUCCACAUGGAUUGUGUGAUUAAACGAGUUCAAAAGUAUCUAUACACAUUAUGCAAAAGUAAGACAUGUAUCGGGGGUUUGAUUGAGUGAUCAAUUGGUAGAAAAUCGUGCUUAGAGAUAAAUGGAAAAGCGAGGUAGAAUCAUCGGAAUCAUCUAGUCUAUAGCUAAACCACAUGCAAUCUAUAAUAUCAUAGGAAUUACUCAAGUGUUCACAACUAGAUCGACAAGGUAGUGAAUCGCAAUCUCUUGUCAAAAUCCACUCUAUUCGUUGUCGAUGCUCCCCCUC
Molecule: long non-coding RNA, 341 nt
Filed under: Trifolium pratense (red clover)
Lineage: Eukaryota; Viridiplantae; Streptophyta; Magnoliopsida; Fabales; Fabaceae
Description: long non-coding RNA (TPRA_LNC005302)
Source: RNAcentral